This is a non-coding RNA of Astyanax mexicanus (Mexican tetra), 436 nucleotides long. The record is from the annotation of a RefSeq genome assembly. NCBI's taxonomy places the organism in Eukaryota, Metazoa, Chordata, Actinopteri, Characiformes, Acestrorhamphidae.
ACUGUGCAACAAUGAUGAUCCCACUGAUUCUACUGCUGACCACACUGAUCUUCUUCCCUCAAGUUUCACACCAAGAGACUCAGACUCCCGAGUUUCUGUCUGUUGAAGCAGGAAAGAGUGUUUCUAUUAGCUGUACUGGAACUGAUGGAGUUGAUGAAUAUAUGAGUUGGUAUCUGCAGAAACCUGGAGAAGCUCCUAAACUACUGAUAUAUAAGGCAAACAGACGCUGGACUGAAGUUUCAGAAAGAUUCAGUGGGUCAUAUUCUGGACUUAACUUUCAACUGAGUAUCAGUGGAGUCCAGGCUGAGGAUGCAGGAGAUUAUUACUGUAUGGGGGUGUAUGUAGGUCCAGUGUUCACACAGUGAAAAAGCAUCGUACAAAAACCUCCCUCAGUCAGACUGAACAGAAACUGCACAGCUGCAGCUGGAGGAGAUCA